CCGCGACUCGCCCGGGCAGGGGGGUGGGUAGGUGGGGGGCCGAAAGAAGCAGCCCGCGGGCAGGUCGCGAACAGCAGCGCUGUUCUUCGCCUCAGUCAGACGCCAAGGAAAAGGCAGCUGCGGCGGCGGUCCUGCUAGCAGCCCAGAAGGGCUUGGGCGUGAGGGCGCUCCAGCUUCUGCAUCUCCAGGCGCCCUUCCAUCCGACNCUUCAGAACCUCAUGAAUCAUCUCUACUCUGAUUGCUGCUCUCAGUUACCNUGUUUCAGACCUCUGCAAAUAGCAAAUGCUGCCUCCGCUGCUCAGAGCAAAGCCAAUGGGGUCAGGCUAAAUCCAGAGGAAUGGACAGAUUUCUGUGUGAGCCGAGGCUGGAUUGGAUUCUUUGGGAAAACCACUUCUUUGAAGACCUUAUAG
This 410-nucleotide long non-coding RNA is filed under the name Salvator merianae (Argentine black and white tegu). RNAcentral describes it as "lncRNA (ENSSMRG00000009503.1)". Lineage: Eukaryota; Metazoa; Chordata; Lepidosauria; Squamata; Teiidae. The record is from RNAcentral.